AUGGCCUGGCCUCCUGUCCUUCUCUUCCUGCUAACUCAGUACCCAGGCUCCUGGGCGCAGACUGGACUGACUCAGGAAGUCUCAGUGUCAGGGUCUGUGGGACAGACAGUCACCCUCUCCUGCACUGGAAACAACAACAAUGUCGGUUCCUAUAGUACAGGCUGGUACCAGCAGAUUCCUGGUGCUGGUGCUGCCCCCAAAACUGUGAUGGUUGGAAGUACUCGACCUACAGGGAUCCCAGCUCGGUUCACUGGUUCGAAAUCUGGAAACAAGGCCACUCUGACCAUCUCGGGUGUGCAGCCUGAGGAUGAGGCUGAUUAUUAUUGUUCUGCAUGGGACAAAAGUAUCAGCAAUGUCACAGUGCUUCAGACUCAAGGAGAAGUGCUCAGCUCUGAACUUGCUCCUUACCAGGAAGAUGUAAAUACCCAGUGUAAUGUCUCACCAUUAAUCAUCCCUGGCACCAUUACACCUGCAAUUAGCCAAACUGGAGUUUUAGCCUAG
Molecule: non-coding RNA, 501 nt
Organism: Sorex fumeus (smoky shrew)
Lineage: Eukaryota; Metazoa; Chordata; Mammalia; Eulipotyphla; Soricidae
Source: the annotation of a RefSeq genome assembly